This is a long non-coding RNA of Anopheles arabiensis, 499 nucleotides long. RefSeq lists it as uncharacterized. Lineage: Eukaryota; Metazoa; Arthropoda; Insecta; Diptera; Culicidae. The record is from RefSeq and is a predicted model, not a curated record. The transcript is spliced from 3 exons.
UAUACUUUAUUUUGACCAUAUGAUCAACACUUGUACAUAGUGCCAUUUACUUUGUGUUCUUCACUCUCGCGUUGUGUUUUGAUCGUUCGAAACUCAUUGCCAGAACGAAUGCAAAUUUCAUUUGGGAAGGAUCGGUGCCGGAAAAUGCAGUGAAAAUUAUAAAAUGUUUAUAGAAAAGUGGUUAAGUAAAUCGUGAAAGAUGUCAACGCAGGUGUAAAUGCAGUUUGUUUUGUUACUUGAUCUACGGGUAAGUCAAUUUCAUUACCAAAGCACCUGAUAACCGAUCAAAGAAAAUGAAUCGGGCUUACAGAGUCGCCGUUUAACUUCAAAUAUCUUCGUGAUCGGCAAACGCAUCAAACAGCAAGUGUUUUUCUUCCAACAGCACGCGCCAUCGGUGGAGCAAGCAGCCAACGUUUCGUUCGUCUAGCACGCACCAUCAAGAAUUGAAAUAUUCCCGAAUAGCUCUGUGAAUAAAAAACUGCACACUUACUGUCCGAAU